RNAcentral lists this long non-coding RNA (886 nucleotides) under Parus major (Great Tit). Its description in RNAcentral is "lncRNA (ENSPMJG00000010242.1)". Lineage: Eukaryota; Metazoa; Chordata; Aves; Passeriformes; Paridae. The record is from RNAcentral.
AUGUGCCUUGAAGCUUUCCAUGACUUCCCCUUUGCUGCCAGGAGACUGAAAAGUCUGAUGCCACGGAGCAGAAGUCUGAUGCCACAGAGGAGAAAUCAGAAGCCACAGAAGAUAAAUCUGAUUCUAAGGAUGAAAAAUCUGAUGCCACAAAUGAAACUGAGGCACACACAGGAGACAAGGCAGAUGAAGGGGCCCCUGAAGAGGCUCAGUCUGACCAGACACCACCAGAAGAUCAACAGGAAGGCAAGGAAGAACAUGCAGGAACAGGGGAAGAAGAAGAAAAGCAGGGAGAGGGAGAAGAAAAAGAAGAGGUGGAGGAGCAGGAAGAGUCUUAGUACAGUUCUCUAUGACACAAUAUUUCUUGAACAGGUUUUCAGGAAGCACCAGCUGGAGCCACCCCACCAAAGAAAAGAAAAUCCCUUUCCCAAGCAAAGCACCACUACCUUUUGUGCCUGUAUGAACACAAAAACAUAAACAGAACACAGACACCACUCUGUCCCACCUGCAGCAUUUAUCUAUAUAUUUGGUAUUCCAGAUGCUUGUUAAAAUGGAUCUCAUGUCUGACAGAUGGUAUUUCAGUCAAUUGUUAUGUGUUGGGAUAGUUUUGUCCGUGUCACAUUUAGAUUGUGAGCUCCCCAGGGCAGGAACCACGUCUCUCUCCAUGUCCAAACACUGCCAAGCACGCUGCUGCCACUCAGCAGCCGACUGCACUCACACACUGACGUCUUCAGAGGAAAAGAAAAUCAGCACUGAAAACUUCAAAGAGGCUUCCUGUACACAAGCCAUGUGAGUCACUUCUCCCUCAGCUGGCAUUUGAAAAUGAUUGAGAUUCCCAUUGUGCAGCAGUUUAAAUAAAUGUGUUUUCUGUCGUAUCUGCUCUUUGUCU